UUGACUUUUUGUCAGUUUCUUGAAUUUCUUAAAUUUGUUUGUAUACAUAAAAUAAAGAGCUUCAUCUCCUUCUACCACAUGGGAACUUUUAAGAGUCUAGCAAUUAGGAUAAUAUCUGUGAAGGUAAUGUAAUACAACUAAGUAACCAUAUUUCUUUUCAUUUUCAGUUAUUAACAGUGUGUAGCAUCACAAAUAAAGGUCCUUAGAUGUAAAAUUAUUCUGUGCCACAUAGUCUACAAACUUCCACAAUUUCUUUUUCCCAUCACUAUUCAUCUACAAGAUGAACACCAAAGGACAAAACUCCUGAAUUUGCACCCAUUCAACUUUUUCCACUUGACAUGUACAGAGUGCAGCAGAAAAGUGACAUUCAGGGUGCCUUCAUUCAAGUUUAAGCUCUGGUCUUGAGUUCAGCUUUCUGACACCUUGGGAAGCAGCAGGUGAAAGAGCCCUAAAAUAAAAAUUUCAAAACUUGUCUAAAGAAAUAACAGGAAACAAAAAAUGAAACACAAUUUCCUUGUCUGUGGAUUGGUUGAAUUAAUACCAUCAUAAUUAAAAUACUACUGACAGCAGUUUAUAGAUUCAAUGUGAUCCUAGA
This is a non-coding RNA of Oryctolagus cuniculus (rabbit), 595 nucleotides long. The record is from RefSeq and is a predicted model, not a curated record. NCBI's taxonomy places the organism in Eukaryota, Metazoa, Chordata, Mammalia, Lagomorpha, Leporidae.